CCUACGGGCGGCAGCAGUGGGGAAUAUUGCACAAUGGGGGAAACCCUGCUGGAGCACCGCCGCGUGGGUGAAGAAGGUCUUCGGAUCGUAAAACCCUGUUGUUAGAGAAGAAAGUGCGUGAGAGUAACUGUUCACGUUUCGACGGUAUCUAACCAGAAAGCCACGGCUAACUACGUGCCAGCAGCCGCGGUAAUACGUAGGUGGCAAGCGUUAUCCGUAUUUAUUGGGCGUAAGGGGAACGCAGGCGGUCUGUUAAGUCUGAUGUUAAAGCCUUCGGCUUAACCGGAGUAGUGCAUUGGAAACGGGGAGACUUGAGGGCAGAAGAGGGGAGUGGAACACCAUGUGUAGCGGUGAAAUGGGUAGAUAUAUGGAAGAACACCAGGGGCGAAAGCGGCUCUCUGGUCUGUAACUGACGCUGAGGUUCGAAAGCGUGGGUAGCAAACAGGAUUAGUACCCCAGUAGUC
RNAcentral lists this ribosomal RNA (464 nucleotides) under uncultured bacterium. Its description in RNAcentral is "partial 16S ribosomal RNA". It matches the Rfam family "Bacterial small subunit ribosomal RNA", at positions 338 to 795 of the family's 1533-position model. The record is from RNAcentral.